Molecule: ribosomal RNA, 468 nt
Filed under: uncultured bacterium
Lineage: Bacteria
Description: partial 16S ribosomal RNA
Rfam family: Bacterial small subunit ribosomal RNA
Source: RNAcentral
GACGAACGCUGGCGGCGUGCUUAACACAUGCAAGUCGAACGGAAAGGCCCUGCUUUUGUGGGGUGCUCGAGUGGCGAACGGGUGAGUAACACGUGAGUAACCUGCCCUUGACUGUGGGAUAACUUCAGGAAACUGGGGCUAAUACCGGAUAGGAGCUCCUGCUGCAUGGUGGGGGUUGGAAAGUUUCGGCGGUUGGGGAUGGACUCGCGGCUUAUCAGCUGGUUGGUGGGGUAGUGGCUUACCAAGGCUUUGACGGGUAGCCGGCCUGAGAGGGUGACCGGCCACAUUGGGACUGAGAUACGGCCCAGACUCCUACGGGACGCAGCAGUGGGGAAUAUUGCACAAUGGGCGGAAGCCUGAUGCAGCAACGCCGCGUGCGGGAUGACGGCCUUCGGGUUGUAAACCGAUUUCGACUGUGACGAAGCGUGAGUGACGGUAAUGGGUAAAGAAGCCCCGGCUAACUACGUG